GGUUAAGCGACUAAGCGUACACGGUGGAUGCCCUGGCAGUCAGAGGCGAUGAAGGACGUGCUAAUCUGCGAUAAGCGUCGGUAAGGUGAUAUGAACCGUUAUAACCGGCGAUUUCCGAAUGGGGAAACCCAGUGUGAUUCGUCACACUAUCAUUAACUGAAUCCAUAGGUUAAUGAGGCGAACCGGGGGAACUGAAACAUCUAAGUACCCCGAGGAAAAGAAAUCAACCGAGAUUCCCCCAGUAGCGGCGAGCGAACGGGGAGCAGCCCAGAGCCUGAAUCAGUGUGUGUGUUAGUGGAAGCGUCUGGAAAGGCGCGCGAUACAGGGUGACAGCCCCGUACACAAAAAUGCACAUACUGUGAGCUCGAUGAGUAGGGCGGGACACGUGGUAUCCUGUCUGAAUAUGGGGGACCAUCCUCCAAGGCUAAAUACUCCUGACUGACCGAUAGUGAACCAGUACCGUGAGGGAAAGGCGAAAAGAACCCCGGCGAGGGGAGUGAAAAAGAACCUGAAACCGUGUACGUACAAGCAGUGGGAGCACAGAGCAAUCUGUGUGACUGCGUACCUUUUGUAUAAUGGGUCAGCGACUUAUAUUCUGUAGCAAGGUUAACCGAAUAGGGGAGCCGAAGGGAAACCGAGUCUUAACUGGGCGUUAAGUUGCAGGGUAUAGACCCGAAACCCGGUGAUCUAGCCAUGGGCAGGUUGAAGGUUGGGUAACACUAACUGGAGGACCGAACCGACUAAUGUUGAAAAAUUAGCGGAUGACUUGUGGCUGGGGGUGAAAGGCCAAUCAAACCGGGAGAUAGCUGGUUCUCCCCGAAAGCUAUUUAGGUAGCGCCUCGUGAAUUCAUCUCCGGGGGUAGAGCACUGUUUCGGCAAGGGGGUCAUCCCGACUUACCAACCCGAUGCAAACUGCGAAUACCGGAGAAUGUUAUCACGGGAGACACACGGCGGGUGCUAACGUCCGUCGUGAAGAGGGAAACAACCCAGACCGCCAGCUAAGGUCCCAAAGUCAUGGUUAAGUGGGAAACGAUGUGGGAAGGCCCAGACAGCCAGGAUGUUGGCUUAGAAGCAGCCAUCAUUUAAAGAAAGCGUAAUAGCUCACUGGUCGAGUCGGCCUGCGCGGAAGAUGUAACGGGGCUAAACCAUGCACCGAAGCUGCGGCAGCGACACUGUGUGUUGUUGGGUAGGGGAGCGUUCUGUAAGCCUGUGAAGGUGUACUGUGAGGUAUGCUGGAGGUAUCAGAAGUGCGAAUGCUGACAUAAGUAACGAUAAAGCGGGUGAAAAGCCCGCUCGCCGGAAGACCAAGGGUUCCUGUCCAACGUUAAUCGGGGCAGGGUGAGUCGACCCCUAAGGCGAGGCCGAAAGGCGUAGUCGAUGGGAAACAGGUUAAUAUUCCUGUACUUGGUGUUACUGCGAAGGGGGGACGGAGAAGGCUAUGUUGGCCGGGCGACGGUUGUCCCGGUUUAAGCGUGUAGGCUGGUUUUCCAGGCAAAUCCGGAAAAUCAAGGCUGAGGCGUGAUGACGAGGCACUACGGUGCUGAAGCAACAAAUGCCCUGCUUCCAGGAAAAGCCUCUAAGCAUCAGGUAACAUCAAAUCGUACCCCAAACCGACACAGGUGGUCAGGUAGAGAAUACCAAGGCGCUUGAGAGAACUCGGGUGAAGGAACUAGGCAAAAUGGUGCCGUAACUUCGGGAGAAGGCACGCUGAUAUGUAGGUGAAGCGACUUGCUCGUGGAGCUGAAAUCAGUCGAAGAUACCAGCUGGCUGCAACUGUUUAUUAAAAACACAGCACUGUGCAAACACGAAAGUGGACGUAUACGGUGUGACGCCUGCCCGGUGCCGGAAGGUUAAUUGAUGGGGUUAGCGCAAGCGAAGCUCUUGAUCGAAGCCCCGGUAAACGGCGGCCGUAACUAUAACGGUCCUAAGGUAGCGAAAUUCCUUGUCGGGUAAGUUCCGACCUGCACGAAUGGCGUAAUGAUGGCCAGGCUGUCUCCACCCGAGACUCAGUGAAAUUGAACUCGCUGUGAAGAUGCAGUGUACCCGCGGCAAGACGGAAAGACCCCGUGAACCUUUACUAUAGCUUGACACUGAACAUUGAGCCUUGAUGUGUAGGAUAGGUGGGAGGCUUUGAAGUGUGGACGCCAGUCUGCAUGGAGCCGACCUUGAAAUACCACCCUUUAAUGUUUGAUGUUCUAACGUGGACCCGUGAUCCGGGUUGCGGACAGUGUCUGGUGGGUAGUUUGACUGGGGCGGUCUCCUCCUAAAGAGUAACGGAGGAGCACGAAGGUUGGCUAAUCCUGGUCGGACAUCAGGAGGUUAGUGCAAUGGCAUAAGCCAGCUUGACUGCGAGCGUGACGGCGCGAGCAGGUGCGAAAGCAGGUCAUAGUGAUCCGGUGGUUCUGAAUGGAAGGGCCAUCGCUCAACGGAUAAAAGGUACUCCGGGGAUAACAGGCUGAUACCGCCCAAGAGUUCAUAUCGACGGCGGUGUUUGGCACCUCGAUGUCGGCUCAUCACAUCCUGGGGCUGAAGUAGGUCCCAAGGGUAUGGCUGUUCGCCAUUUAAAGUGGUACGCGAGCUGGGUUUAGAACGUCGUGAGACAGUUCGGUCCCUAUUCUGCCGUGGGCGCUGGAGAAUUGAGGGGGCUGCUCCUAGUACGAGAGGACCGGAGUGGACGCAUCACUGGUGUUCGGGUUGUCAUGCCAAUGGCACUGCCCGGUAGCUAAAUGCGGAAGAGAUAAGUGCUGAAAGCAUCUAAGCACGAAACUUGCCCCGAGAUGAGUUCUCCCUGACCCUUUAAGGGUCCUGAAGGAACGUUGAAGACGACGACGUUGAUAGGCCGGGUGUGUAAGCGCAGCGAUGCGUUGAGCUAACCGGUACUAAUGAACCGUGAGGCUUAACCUU
RNAcentral lists this ribosomal RNA (2904 nucleotides) under Escherichia coli. Its description in RNAcentral is "23S ribosomal RNA". It matches the Rfam family "Bacterial large subunit ribosomal RNA". The record is from RNAcentral. Lineage: Bacteria; Pseudomonadati; Pseudomonadota; Gammaproteobacteria; Enterobacterales; Enterobacteriaceae.